UAUGUGAUCGUCUCUCGCAUAUCAAUAAGCGGAGGAAAAGAAACUAACAAGGAUUCCCUUAGUAACGGCGAGUGAAGCGGGAAGAGCUCAAAUUUGAAAUCUUCAAGGUUUUACCUUGACGAAUUGUAGUUUAAAGAAGUGUUUUCUGCUGAAGUUUUGGUAAAAGUUCUUUGGAAUAGGACAUCAUAGAGGGUGAGAAUCCCGUAUUUGACCAUUAUUUUCAGCUUUGUGAUACACUUUCAAAGAGUCGGAUUGUUUGGGAAUGCAGUCCAAAAUGGGUGGUAAAUUUCAUCUAAAGCUAAAUAUUGGCGAGAGACCGAUAGCGAACAAGUACCGUGAGGGAAAGAUGAAAAGAACUUUGAAAAGAGAGUUAAACAGUACGUGAAAUUGUCAAAAGGGAAGCGUUUGACACCAGUGUUGUUUUCUCGAAAAUCAAUUAAAAAUGGCUCGAUUUUGUAUUGCUGUAGACCUUAAAAGCUCACUGUACAUUUUUCGUGUCUUUUUUAAUGCACUUUUCGUUUAACAAGUCAACAUCAGUUUCUUUUGUUGUAAAAGGGUCAUUGGAAGGUGGCUUUCUUUUCGGAGAAAGUGUUUAUAGCCUUUGGCCUCUGCAAUCGAAGAGACUGAGGUCUGCAGCGUAGACUCUUCGGGGUUAGAUACAUUUGUGCUAAGUUAGUAGCUUUUAUAGACAACUUGUUGACUAUAAUUAGUCUUGUAGCUUACUCGCUUAUGCUAUUUUACCUACGCUUAGGAUGUUGACGAUCAGCUGAGCGCG
RNAcentral lists this ribosomal RNA (775 nucleotides) under uncultured Neocallimastigales. RNAcentral's name for it is "partial large subunit ribosomal RNA". It matches the Rfam family "Eukaryotic large subunit ribosomal RNA", at positions 24 to 605 of the family's 3401-position model. Lineage: Eukaryota; Fungi; Neocallimastigomycota; Neocallimastigomycetes; Neocallimastigales. The record is from RNAcentral.